This 94-nucleotide transfer RNA is filed under the name Terriglobia bacterium. Its description in RNAcentral is "tRNA-Ser". It matches the Rfam family "tRNA". From Rfam's summary of the family: Transfer RNA (tRNA) molecules are approximately 80 nucleotides in length. Their secondary structure includes four short double-helical elements and three loops (D, anti-codon, and T loops). The record is from RNAcentral. Lineage: Bacteria; Pseudomonadati; Acidobacteriota; Terriglobia.
GGAGAGGUACCGAAGUGGUCAUAACGGGGCCGCCUCGAAAGCGGUUUGGGGGCCAAAAGCUCUCACGCGGGUUCGAAUCCCGCCCUCUCCGCCA